UGUGAGACGAGUGUGUGUGUUUGUGGAAGAAGACACCGACAAGCUAUCCUAAGAAGAAAAGGCGGAGAGAAGAUGAGAGAGAGAGAGGCGAUAAGGGCGCAGGGUUUCCUGUGGCUGUGCCUCUAACCUGCCAACAGGAAGUGCAGCACAAUCGCCGUGACGUAAACAGAACACUCCUGGGAUUAAUCCGGGCUCCGCCCCCUCCAGGUGUGCUGGAGCAUGGAAACAUCUAAAACAUGCAGGACAGCGGCUCUCGAGCACCAGGAUUGGAGAACCCUGUUCUGGAUAUAGGAUUUUUAA
This is a long non-coding RNA of Hypomesus transpacificus, 300 nucleotides long. RefSeq lists it as uncharacterized. The record is from RefSeq and is a predicted model, not a curated record. The transcript has 3 exons. Lineage: Eukaryota; Metazoa; Chordata; Actinopteri; Osmeriformes; Osmeridae.